AAAAUCCCGUAAGGAAACGUCAUAAACGUCACAUCCAGCUGUCCUCACCCUUGUUUCGCUGCAUUCAUGGCUGCCAGGGUGACAAGAGAUGGGUCAGUCAUGCAUUGGUAGACUGCAUAUACUAAAAGAAAAGGAAAGUUUCAGCAAUUAUAAUGCAUGAUAAA
RNAcentral lists this long non-coding RNA (164 nucleotides) under Amphimedon queenslandica. RNAcentral's name for it is "uncharacterized LOC109585269". The record is from RNAcentral. Lineage: Eukaryota; Metazoa; Porifera; Demospongiae; Haplosclerida; Niphatidae.